UACAGAGGUGGCAAGCGUUGUUCGGAAUUACUGGGCGUAAAGGGCGCGUAGGCGGCCUACUAAGUCAGACGUGAAAUCCCCCGGCUUAACCUGGGAACUGCGUCUGAUACUGGAAGGCUUGAGGAUGGGAGAGGGAUGUAGAAUUCCAGGUGUAGCGGUGAAAUGCGUAGAUAUCGGCAGGAACACCCGUGGCGGAAGCGGCCACCUAGCCCGCACCUGACGCUGAGGCGCGACAGCGUGGGGAGCGAACGGG
Molecule: ribosomal RNA, 253 nt
Filed under: uncultured bacterium
Lineage: Bacteria
Description: partial 16S ribosomal RNA
Rfam family: Bacterial small subunit ribosomal RNA
Source: RNAcentral